RNAcentral lists this ribosomal RNA (499 nucleotides) under Scylla serrata (giant mud crab). Its description in RNAcentral is "partial 16S ribosomal RNA". It matches the Rfam family "Archaeal large subunit ribosomal RNA", at positions 1942 to 2665 of the family's 2987-position model. The record is from RNAcentral. Lineage: Eukaryota; Metazoa; Arthropoda; Malacostraca; Decapoda; Portunidae.
UAGUCUAGCCUGCUCACUGACAAAAGUGUUAAAUAGCCGCGGUAUUUUGACCGUGCAAAGGUAGCAUAAUCAUUAGUUUUUUAAUUGGAAACUUGUAUGAAUGGUUGGACAAAGAAAAGACUGUCUCUUUUAUUAAAAUUGAAAUUAACUUCUAAGUGAAAAGGCUUAGAUUUUCUAGAGGGACGAUAAGACCCUAUAAAGCUUCAUAAGUUAAAUAAAUUAGAUGGAUUUUUAGAAUAAAAGUAAAUUUAGUAAGCUUAUUUAGUUGGGGCGACAAGGGUAUAAAAUUAAAUAACUGCUAUUAAGGUUAGACAAUUAUAUUUGGUUGGAUUGUAAUUGAUCCUCGCUAUGGAUUAAAAGAUUAAGUUACUUUAGGGAUAACAGCGUAAUUUCUUUUAAGAGUUCUUAUCAAAGGAGAAGUUUGCGACCUCGAUGUUGAAUUAAAAUGUCUUUAUAGUGCAGAAGCUAUAAAAGAAGGUCUGUUCGACCUUUAAUUUUU